RNAcentral lists this ribosomal RNA (326 nucleotides) under uncultured prokaryote. RNAcentral describes it as "bacterial SSU rRNA". It matches the Rfam family "Bacterial small subunit ribosomal RNA", at positions 26 to 352 of the family's 1533-position model. The record is from RNAcentral.
AGAUUGAACGCUGGCGGCGUGCCUAACACAUGCAAGUCGAGCGGUAGCAGGUGUAGCAAUACAUGCUGACGAGCGGCGAACGGGUGAGUAAUGCUUCGGAAUCUACCCACGGGUGGGGAAUAACCAACCGAAAGGUUGGCUAAUACCGCAUAAGUCCUACGGGGGAAAGCGGGGGAUCGAAAGACCUCGCGCCGGUGGAUGAGCCGAAGCCGGAUUAGCUAGUUGGUAGGGUAAUGGCCUACCAAGGCGACGAUCCGUAGCUGGUCUGAGAGGACGACCAGCCACACUGGGACUGAGACACGGCCCAGACUCCUACGGGAGGCAGC